RNAcentral lists this ribosomal RNA (492 nucleotides) under uncultured bacterium. Its description in RNAcentral is "partial 16S ribosomal RNA". It matches the Rfam family "Bacterial small subunit ribosomal RNA", at positions 29 to 507 of the family's 1533-position model. The record is from RNAcentral.
AGUGAACGCUGGCGGCAGGCCUAACACAUGCAAGUCGAGCGGAUGCACGGUGAUAGCUCGCUCUUUCCGGUGGCGACGGGCGGGUGAGUCACACGUACAUCGCUAUCUGCUUUUUCUGGCGUCAGUACGCGGGCCCGCAUACCCUAACAGCCCAUAUGACGAACGGGGGGGAUCAGCGGAGCUCCAGCCUUUUGCUGAUUCUAUGAGCCGAGGGCGCAUUAGCUAGUUGGCGGGGUAAAGGCCCACCAAGGCGACGAUCCGUAGCGGGUCUGAGAGGAUGAUCAGCCACACUGGAACUGAGACACGGUCCAGACUCCUACGGGAGGCAGCAGUGGGGAAUAUUGGACAAUGGGCGAAAGCCUGAUCCAGCCAUGCCGCGUGUGUGAAGAAGGUCUUCGGAUUGUAAAGCCCUUUUAUUGGGGAAGAAGAGCAGUAAGUUAAUACCUCGCUGUUUUGACGGUACCAAAAGAAUAAGCACCGGCUAACUUCGUG